AUACAGGGGGUGCGAGCGUUAAUCGGAAUUACUGGGCGUAAAGAGUACGUAGGCGGUUGCUUAAGUCAGAUGUGAAAGCCCCGGGCUCAACCUGGGAACUGCAUUUGAAACUGAGUGACUAGAGUUUAAGAGAGGGGAGUAGAAUUCCGGGUGUAGCGGUGAAAUGCGUAGAGAUCCGGAGGAAUACCAGUUGCGAAGGCGGCUCCCUGGCUUAAAACUGACGCUGAGGUACGAAAGCGUGGGUAGCAAACAGGAGUAGAAACCCUAGUAGUCC
RNAcentral lists this ribosomal RNA (274 nucleotides) under uncultured bacterium. Its description in RNAcentral is "partial 16S ribosomal RNA". It matches the Rfam family "Bacterial small subunit ribosomal RNA", at positions 523 to 796 of the family's 1533-position model. The record is from RNAcentral.